GCUCGUCUCAAAGAUUAAGCCAGGCAUGUGUAGGUGUGAAUAUAAAAGUUUGGUACUGCGAAUGGCUCAUUAUAUCAGUUAUAAUUUAUUUGGUGAAGUGUACUACUCGGAUAACCGUAGUGAUACUAGGGCUAAUACAUGAGAAAGUCCUCUGGUGAGGUGUGUUUAUUAGAAUGAAAACCAUAUGCUUCGGCAUUAUAGAGAGUAAUAGUAACCUAUCGUAUCGCAUGCUUAAUGUAGCGAUGAGUCUUUCAAGCUUCUGCCCUAUCAUCUUUCGAUGGUAGUAUAUGGGCCUACCAUG
RNAcentral lists this ribosomal RNA (301 nucleotides) under Blastocystis sp. RNAcentral's name for it is "SSU rRNA". It matches the Rfam family "Eukaryotic small subunit ribosomal RNA", at positions 30 to 348 of the family's 1831-position model. Lineage: Eukaryota; Bigyra; Opalinata; Blastocystidae. The record is from RNAcentral.